CCUACGGGAGGCAGCAGUGAGGAAUAUUGGUCAAUGGGCGCGAGCCUGAACCAGCCAAGUCGCGUGAGGGAGGACGGCCCUACGGGUUGUAAACCUCUUUUGCCGGGGAGCAAAGGGCGCCACGUGUGGCGUCACUGAGAGUACCUGGAGAAAAAGCAUCGGCUAACUCCGUGCCAGCAGCCGCGGUAAUACGGGGGAUGCGAGGUUGAUCCGGGUUUAUUGGGUUUAAGGGGUGCGUAGGCGGAUGGUUAAGUCAGUGGUAAAAUUGAGGGGCCCAACCCCUUCCCGCCAUUGAAACUGGCGUUCUUGAGUGGAAGAGAGGUAUGCGGAAUGCGUGGUGUAGCGGUGAAAUGCAUAGAUAUCACGCAGAACCCCGAUUGCGAAGGCAGCAUGCCGGCUUCCGACUGACGCUGAAGCACGAAAGCGUGGGGAUCGAACAGGAUUAGAUACCCCUGUAGUC
Molecule: ribosomal RNA, 460 nt
Filed under: uncultured bacterium
Lineage: Bacteria
Description: partial 16S ribosomal RNA
Rfam family: Bacterial small subunit ribosomal RNA
Source: RNAcentral